Molecule: unclassified non-coding RNA, 340 nt
Filed under: Basidiomycota sp.
Lineage: Eukaryota; Fungi; Basidiomycota
Description: partial contains 5.8S ribosomal RNA, internal transcribed spacer 2, and large subunit ribosomal RNA
Rfam family: 5.8S ribosomal RNA (bases 1-71)
Source: RNAcentral
GUGAAUCAUCGAAUCUUUGAACGCACCUUGCGCCCUCUGGUAUUCCGGAGGGCAUGCCUGUUUGAGUGUCUUGAUAUCAUCAAUCCCAUUGGGUUCGCGCCCACUGCGGGUUGGAGUUGGGGGCCUUGCUGCCGAGAGGCGGCACCCCUUAAAAUCAUCGGUUUGGCCCGCAUCACGCGGCUUGCACCUUUGGCGUUGUAUUCUCCUCGCCUUUGAUCGGUCUUGCUCGCUUCCGCGCCUCACCUCGACUUGCCCUUUGGGUGGCGGUCACUUCUUGACAAUCUGGCCUCAAAUCAGGUAGGACUACCCGCUGAACUUAAGCAUAUCAAUAAGCGGAGGA